RNAcentral lists this ribosomal RNA (253 nucleotides) under uncultured bacterium. RNAcentral describes it as "partial 16S ribosomal RNA". It matches the Rfam family "Bacterial small subunit ribosomal RNA", at positions 524 to 776 of the family's 1533-position model. The record is from RNAcentral.
UACGGGGGGGGCAAGCGUUGUUCGGAAUUACUGGGCGUAAAGGGCGCGUAGGCGGCCUGCUAAGUCGAACGUGAAAUCCCCGAGCUCAACUCGGGAACUGCGUCCGAUACUGGCAGGCUUGAAUCCGGGAGAGGGAUGCGGAAUUCCAGGUGUAGCGGUGAAAUGCGUAGAUAUCUGGAGGAACACCGGUGGCGAAGGCGGCAUCCUGGACCGGCAUUGACGCUGAGGCGCGAAAGCCAGGGGAGCAAACGGG